UACAGAGGGGGCAAGCGUUAUUCGGAAUUAUUGGGCGUAAAGGGCGCGUAGGCGGCUUGGCAAGUGGAAGGUGAAAUCCCUCGGCUUAACCGAGGAACUGCCCUCCAAACUGCUUGGCUUGAGACCGGGAGAGGUGAGUGGAAUUCCCAGUGUAGCGGUGAAAUGCGUAGAUAUUGGGAGGAACACCAGUGGCGAAGGCGGCUCACUGGACCGGUACUGACGCUGAUGCGCGAAAGCGUGGGGAGCAAACAGG
RNAcentral lists this ribosomal RNA (253 nucleotides) under uncultured bacterium. Its description in RNAcentral is "partial 16S ribosomal RNA". It matches the Rfam family "Bacterial small subunit ribosomal RNA", at positions 524 to 776 of the family's 1533-position model. The record is from RNAcentral.